GCCGAGGUAGCUCAACGGUAGAGCACGGCUUUCGUAAAGCCGGGGUUGAGGGUUCAAAUCCCUUCUUCGGCU
RNAcentral lists this transfer RNA (72 nucleotides) under Phycisphaerae bacterium. Its description in RNAcentral is "tRNA-Thr". It matches the Rfam family "tRNA". From Rfam's summary of the family: Transfer RNA (tRNA) molecules are approximately 80 nucleotides in length. Lineage: Bacteria; Pseudomonadati; Planctomycetota; Phycisphaerae. The record is from RNAcentral. RNAcentral also lists the same sequence under 1 other name.